UUUUCCACCGGAGCUUGCUCCACCGGAAAAAGAGGAGUGGCGAACGGGUGAGUAACACGUGGGUAACCUGCCCAUCAGAAGGGGAUAACACUUGGAAACAGGUGCUAAUACCGUAUAACAAUCGAAACCGCAUGGUUUUGAUUUGAAAGGCGCUUUCGGGUGUCGCUGAUGGAUGGACCCGCGGUGCAUUAGCUAGUUGGUGAGGUAACGGCUCACCAAGGCCACGAUGCAUAGCCGACCUGAGAGGGUGAUCGGCCACAUUGGGACUGAGACACGGCCCAAACUCCUACGGGAGGCAGCAGUAGGGAAUCUUCGGCAAUGGACGAAAGUCUGACCGAGCAACGCCGCGUGAGUGAAGAAGGUUUUCGGAUCGUAAAACUCUGUUGUUAGAGAAGAACAAGGAUGAGAGUAACUGUUCAUCCCUUGACGGUAUCUAACCAGAAAGCCACGGCUAACUACGUGCCAGCAGCCGCGGUAAUACGUAGGUGGCAAGCGUUGUCCGGAUUUAUUGGGCGUAAAGCGAGCGCAGGCGGUUUCUUAAGUCUGAUGUGAAAGCCCCCGGCUCAACCGGGGAGGGUCAUUGGAAACUGGGAGACUUGAGUGCAGAAGAGGAGAGUGGAAUUCCAUGUGUAGCGGUGAAAUGCGUAGAUAUAUGGAGGAACACCAGUGGCGAAGGCGGCUCUCUGGUCUGUAACUGACGCUGAGGCUCGAAAGCGUGGGGAGCAAACAGGAUUAGAUACCCUGGUAGUCCACGCCGUAAACGAUGAGUGCUAAGUGUUGGAGGGUUUCCGCCCUUCAGUGCUGCAGCUAACGCAUUAAGCACUCCGCCUGGGGAGUACGACCGCAAGGUUGAAACUCAAAGGAAUUGACGGGGGCCCGCACAAGCGGUGGAGCAUGUGGUUUAAUUCGAAGCAACGCGAAGAACCUUACCAGGUCUUGACAUCCUUUGACCACUCUAGAGAUAGAGCUUCCCCUUCGGGGGCAAAGUGACAGG
This 994-nucleotide ribosomal RNA is filed under the name Enterococcus sp. MRSA87B1_13_1A. RNAcentral's name for it is "bacterial SSU rRNA". It matches the Rfam family "Bacterial small subunit ribosomal RNA", at positions 73 to 1038 of the family's 1533-position model. Lineage: Bacteria; Bacillati; Bacillota; Bacilli; Lactobacillales; Enterococcaceae. The record is from RNAcentral.